Zingiber officinale is the source of this 1978-nucleotide RNA transcript. It is a transcript of the gene named 30S ribosomal protein S9, mitochondrial-like, with no coding region annotated. The transcript has 7 exons. The record is from RefSeq and is a predicted model, not a curated record. Lineage: Eukaryota; Viridiplantae; Streptophyta; Magnoliopsida; Zingiberales; Zingiberaceae.
UAACCUAAUUACCCCGCUCACACUGCUUCUGUUUCGUCCCAAACAAACACCGACUCCACCACCACCACCACCACCACCACCGCCGCCUCCUUCCUUCAGCACCUUCCUUCAGCACCUCCUCCUCGUCUCGAUCAACCGAAUCCCCGUCGCGGUUUCCUGGAGAAGCCUUUCCCACCUCACUCUUCGCCUCUAAUUUGUUCCAGCCCUCUAAACCCUAAUAUUUCACGCGUCCGGACUCGAGCAUCGCAGCAGACGCAGCCUCUUCGCUAAAGAUGCUCUCCCGCUCUGCCUCUCUUCGCCAGCCUCUUCGCUUCCUUGUUCUCACUGCUGUAGCUUCCUUCCACCCUCGCUGCAUCUCCUCUCCGCCUCCGCCUCCACCUCCGCCUCUGUCUUUUCCUCGUCUCCCCUCUCCUCUGUUCCCUCCGUCCAAUUCCGCUUCCUUUCAAUACUCUAAGGCAUUCUCUAGCGGGAGUCGCGAUGAUGGCGGCGACUGGAAAUUAACCCCCGAGGAGGACGAGGGUGGUUUCGUUUUUCCGGACGAGGGCGACCUUGCAGGGAUUUCUGAUGACGCCCCGAGACCCUCCGGAACAGAGGCGAUCAACGCUGUAGCCGGAAUCAUGGAUCAGUGGGAAAAGGGCUCCGGGACAGUUGAUAAAGGGGAUAUUUUUGAUGGCCUCGAUGGAGAGACUCUGGCUAACGAGAACGGGCUUGGAGGAUUAGGCGUGGAGGAAUGGGAGACGGCUGAGGGAUACAAGCCAUGGUCAUUGGGCGACGAUGAUGAAAAAUUGAGCCUGUUCAACGAUGGCGAUGGAGGGGUAGUCAACGGUGGCGUUGAUGAUUUAGGGAAGUCUAGUGAUGAGCAGAAGCAGCAACUUGAGAUGCGAGAGAAAGAGCUGUUAGAUAUUCUGGAAGGUCCGAAACAUGCAUUUGGAGAUCUCACUGAAGCAUCAGGGAUCACAGAUGAUAUGAUUGAUAGUUUGAUUAUAUUGAAGGAUGUAACGGGUGUUCCAGGAUUACCUCCUCUUAAGGAAAUACAAGAGGAAGCAAUUGCAAAGAUGAAUGCAACAUCAACAAGAACUGAAAUUGAGCGUAAGAAACAAGAGGAGAUUGCAAAAUCUAGAGUUCGUCAGGUGGAUGAAAAGGGUAGAGCAUAUGGAACAGGGAGAAGGAAAUGCAGCGUAGCUCGUGUAUGGAUUAAACCCGGUGAUGGGACGUUCAUUGUAAAUGACAAGCAGUUUGAUGUUUAUUUUCCCAUUCUUGAUCACCGAGCAGAACUUCUCAGACCUUUCACUGUCACAAAAACUCUCGGUCUCUGGGACGUAAAUUGCACUGUUAAAGGGGGUGGAGUUUCUGGUCAAGUUGGAGCCAUCCGCUUGGGAAUCAGCAGAGCAUUGCAAUGUUGGGAACCAGGCCUUCGACCUUACCUAAAAGCUGCUGGUUAUUUAACACGUGAUCCACGCGUAGUUGAACGAAAGAAGCCUGGCAAAGCUAAAGCAAGGAAGAGCUUUCAAUGGGUUAAACGGUAGAAGGAUUCUUUGCAGCCAACAUUCAUCUUCUACCAAAUUCCGCCGCUUCUUAUUUCUGUUUUGCUGUUCAAAUAUGACGACCUAUGCGAUGUGGCUCUCAGUUCACCCACACCUCUUCCAUGCUUCGAUAACUCGCAAUGCACCAUAAACUUGUAGUGAUUAGGGCCAUGGAGAAAGCAGCAGUAGCAGUUCUGGAGGCUUGCGUAAAAGAGGCCUUUGUCCCAUCUACACCAUCCUUGGCUUAAAUUUGAUGAAGAAAGAACCUACUGAUAUGCCAUUAUAAUUAAUUGACUCUCGCCGACUGCUCAUUGCUCAACCAUUUAUUAGUUAUCUGUAGCUGCUGGAGUGCUUAAUUUUCAUGUUCUAGGUGAAGAAUAGUUUCAUAUUAAUUAACAUCCACUGAAUGAUGUUAUUCUUACUUAGCCUAAUUAUGAUAUGAUAAAUUUAAGUAA